This 253-nucleotide ribosomal RNA is filed under the name uncultured bacterium. Its description in RNAcentral is "partial 16S ribosomal RNA". It matches the Rfam family "Bacterial small subunit ribosomal RNA", at positions 524 to 776 of the family's 1533-position model. The record is from RNAcentral.
UACGAAGGGGGCUAGCGUUGCUCGGAAUCACUGGGCGUAAAGCGCACGUAGGCGGCUUGUUAAGUCAGGGGUGAAAUCCUGGAGCUCAACUCCAGAACUGCCUUUGAUACUGGCGAUCUCGAGUCCGGGAGAGGUGAGUGGAACUGCGAGUGUAGAGGUGAAAUUCGUAGAUAUUCGCAAGAACACCAGUGGCGAAGGCGGCUCACUGGCCCGAUACUGACGCUGAGGUGCGAAAGCGUGGGGAGCAAACAGG